RNAcentral lists this ribosomal RNA (601 nucleotides) under uncultured bacterium. RNAcentral describes it as "bacterial SSU rRNA". It matches the Rfam family "Bacterial small subunit ribosomal RNA", at positions 797 to 1398 of the family's 1533-position model. The record is from RNAcentral.
ACGCCGUAAACGAUGAGUGCUAGGUGUUGGGUCCUUUCCGGGACUCAGUGCCGCAGCUAACGCAUUAAGCACUCCGCCUGGGGAGUACGACCGCAAGGUUGAAACUCAAAGGAAUUGACGGGGGCCCGCACAAGCGGUGGAGCAUGUGGUUUAAUUCGAAGCAACGCGAAGAACCUUACCAGGUCUUGACAUCCCGGUGCCCGUCCUAGAGAUAGGAUUUUGCUUCGGCACACCGGUGACAGGUGGUGCAUGGUUGUCGUCAGCUCGUGUCGUGAGAUGUUGGGUUAAGUCCCGCAACGAGCGCAACCCUUAUUGUUAGUUGCCAUCAUUCAGUUGGGCACUCUAGCGAGACUGCCGGUAAUAAACCGGAGGAAGGUGGGGAGGACGUCAAAUCAUCAUGCCCCUUAUGACCUGGGCUACACACGUGCUACAAUGGCUGGUACAACGAGUCGCAAGUCGGUGACGGCAAGCUAAUCUCUUAAAGCCAGUCUCAGUUCGGAUUGUAGGCUGCAACUCGCCUACAUGAAGUGGGAAUCGCUAGUAAUCGCGGAUCAGCACGCCGCGGUGAAUACGUUCCCGGGCCUUGUACUCACCGCCCGUC